GAUGAACGCUGGCGGCGUGCCUAAUACAUGCAAGUCGAGCGAACGGACGAUUAUCUUGCUUCUCUGAUGUUAGCGGCGGACGGGUGUGUAACACGUGUAUAACCUACCUAUAAUACUGGGAUAACUUCGGGAAACCGGAUCUAAUACCGGAUAAUCUUUUGAACCGCAGGGUUCAAAAGUGAAAUACGGUCUUUCUGUCACUUAUAGAUGGAUCCGCGCUGGAUUAGCUGGUUGGUAAGGUAACGGCUUACCAAGGGAACGAGGCGUAGGCGAAGUGAGGGGGUGGUAGCCCACACUGGAACUGAGCCGCCGUCCAGACUCCUACGGGAGGCAGCAGUAGGGAAUGUUCCGCAAUGGGCGAAAGUAUGACGGAGCGGCGCGGCGUGAGAGAUGACGACCUUCGGAUCGUAAUGCUCUGUUAUUAGGGAAGAACAGAUGUGUAAGUAACUGUGCACAUAUUGACGGUACCUAAUCAGAAAGCCCCGGCUAACUACGUG
Molecule: ribosomal RNA, 497 nt
Filed under: uncultured bacterium
Lineage: Bacteria
Description: partial 16S ribosomal RNA
Rfam family: Bacterial small subunit ribosomal RNA
Source: RNAcentral